GCGUCUCCUGCCCAGCUGCUCUGCUUCUGCAGCAGGGAAGAGUUACAUUCCUCUUGGUUUUUUAGCUAGUUUUUUGCUCGUUAGCUAAAGCAUGAAGCCCUGGGACUUUGGUUUCUUUUUCUUCUCUUUUGGAACUGUUUAGAACACCGGAACAUCAUCGGGAUACCCUACAUCAUUGGCCCGGAGGGGGCCCACGCCAAACCCCAGCUCCGGAGAGGAAAAAGCCACACCCACAAAGGACUUUGAAAUCUACCCAGGUUCUCUCCACAGCAAGAGGUUUCAUUAUUUAGCAUUAUUCUUUUUCUUUCCCGUGUCUGCAUGCACUUUACUUAUUAAAUAAACAGGUGUUUUUUUCACUUUCCUCCGAGGGAAAUUCUUUCCAAACCUGGUGGAGGAAUGGGAUGGCUGUAACCUGCCUUCUAUCAGAGGACGCUCAUUUCGGAUGUUCCUCCAAAUUUGUCUCAAAUCGGGUUGGCUUUUCUGAGAUCUGGGAGCAAGAUAGUGCAGCCCCUCAGCUUCCUGGCCAUCCCCCAGCCAAUUCUUCUCCCGUCAAUUCUCCAAUCUUGGACCAAAACCAACCUGAACAGUUCAGGAAAAAAAACAAAGGCCACUGAAGGAUUGCUGUCACAGUCUCCAAGGCCGGGAAAAGGAAAAAAACUUCUUGCCUAAGCUAACAAAAAACCAACGAAACAAGCCUUUCUGAAGCUCAUAGAGAAGCACAAGUACCUGAAGCAACACACAGCGUGCCUUCUGCAGUAUCCAGUCACCACGAUUCGGGAAGGAAUUUACUCUGGAAAUAGGGCAGAAGAUGAGAGCAUCACCACCCUGGACUGGUGUUAGCCUGUCACGUGUGUCACAAGCAUAGUGAAGGUCACAGACAGCAUGGAUCAUUCUCUGUGGAAAAAAAGAUGCUCCUGUCACACUCAUCAUAGUACAUUCUUUCUUUUGCUUUUUUUCCAAGCAGUCUGCCACAGCACACAGAGGAAAUGGAGAUGGCCUUGAUGAUCUUAAAGGCCUCUUCCAACCCUGAUGAUUUCGUAAGUGCAUCAUGAGCAGAGGUUCUCAGGUAGCAACUCCUUUAUGCUCACACAUUUAGACAAUCAAGUAUCAGCAAAGUAGCAUGAGAAAGCACAGGGGUUUCUGGCAAGGGGAACUGCAAAAGAAAGGUCAAAUCUUUGCACAGAAGAUGCUGAGCUCCUUACAAAAAAAUUAAUCAAUCUGAUAAUGCCAGGGUUCCUUUUUCAUGUUUCAAAAUAAAAGCACCGUUUGGAUGCUGAACUUUUUGCAGGAGCCUGCUCACUGCAAUACCUCUACAAGUGCAGCACAAUGGCAGAGCUGAGGCACAACAGCCAAGUCUGUAUCUGCUUGCAGGUGUUGCAAUCGUUUGUUCCCACAUACUACCCAUGAACAAGGAGAAAAUUUAUUCAGCAAGAAAGAUGCAAUUUUUGGCUAUUUACUUCUCUUCAGCAUUUGGGUGGUGGCAUGGGACUGCCAUGAAGUAUAGCAUAGAGCUCUUCUGGAGACAUCCUGUUUGCUUGCAGUGCUGAAAAAAACCCCAACACUGCAACAGAGCCAGUAAUGAAGGAUUCUUAAAACUUGUAUUUUUAUUAGAUGCUGAGUUCAUGUUGUUGAAUCUUCCAGGCAGCCAGAUGGUGACAGUGAAUUAUGGAUUCAGUUAGGAAAAUCCUGUGAUUUUCAGUGCAAGUCAUGUGCCUGAAGUAAUUUAGGUUUGGAAACUGACUGGUCACACCACAAGCAGUAUUUGUUGAGUCACAGGUCCAGAUGCACAUGAACAUGUAAACCAUGGCUCUGUUCAGUUCUGUUUCUGAAGCUGCAGUCACAACAUCAGUAGCUUAAGCUUUUUGAAGACUUAACAGUCCUAAUGACUAACCUGUGCAUUUGGCAGCAACUCUACUCCUCCACAUUCAUAGGAUGCUUGUGGAUACAAUAUUGCUGCUAGCAAGAAUUUUUAUUGCUUCUUUCUAAGCCCGUGAGUUACUCUUCUCUCUCACGAAGAUAUUUGCAGAAGUUCUGUAAACUAUGAACACCUGCGACCUUGUAGAACUAUGUUUAUGGUACAGUAGAAAAAUAUUUUGACAAUGG
Corvus hawaiiensis (hawaiian crow) is the source of this 2103-nucleotide long non-coding RNA. RefSeq lists it as uncharacterized. The transcript is spliced from 4 exons. The record is from RefSeq and is a predicted model, not a curated record. Lineage: Eukaryota; Metazoa; Chordata; Aves; Passeriformes; Corvidae.